RNAcentral lists this ribosomal RNA (509 nucleotides) under uncultured bacterium. RNAcentral describes it as "bacterial SSU rRNA". It matches the Rfam family "Bacterial small subunit ribosomal RNA", at positions 28 to 534 of the family's 1533-position model. The record is from RNAcentral.
GAUGAACGCUAGCGGCAGGCUUAAUACAUGCAAGUCGAACGGGAAUUGGGUAGCAAUACCUGAUGAUAGUGGCGCACGGGUGCGUAACGCGUAUGCAACCUACCUUUAACAGGGGGAUAGCCCGGAGAAAUUCGGAUUAAUACCCCAUAGUAUUAUGGAGAGGCAUCUUUUCAUGAUUAAAGUUCCGGCGGUUAAAGAUGGGCAUGCGUGCCAUUAGCUAGUUGGUGAGGUAACGGCUCACCAAGGCGACGAUGGUUAGGGGUCCUGAGAGGGUUAUCCCCCAACUGGUACUGAGACACGGACCAGACUCCUACGGGAGGCAGCAGUAAGGAUAUUGGUCAAUGGGCGGAAGCCUGAACCAGCCAUGCCGCGUGCAGGAAGACGGCCUUAUGGGUUGUAAACUGCUUUUGUCAGGGAAUAAACCCUCGUUUGCGAACGAGGCUGAAGGUACCUGAAGAAUAAGCAUCGGCUAACGUCCGUGCCAAGCAGCCGCGGUAAAACGUAGCGUG